UAUUUUUAAAAAAUCACCAUUUUCUUUUUCCAAGAACAUCACAUUUAAUUUUUUUUUUUUCCUUUUUUAUUGCAAAUCACCUAACAUGUUAAUCAAAAAAAAAAUUUACUUUUUUAUUUAUUUAUUAUACUUUUCAAAAUCACCCCCUUUUUAUUUUUUCUUUUUUCCUUUUUUUUUUUAUCAAGACCCAAACAAUAUUUUCAUUUUAAUUUUCCAAUGUUCAUAAAAUUCACCUUUAAAAAUUGGAAUCAAUAGUUGAGAAAUAUUUAUACUACUAAGGGGUGCUUUAUGGAAUAAAACAAGAAAUUAAAUCAAGAUAUUUAAAUCUCUAACAUCUUUCCCAUGAAUUUUGUCUCUGACCUGCUAAUCCUAAAAUUUGACACCAACGUGUAUCACUUUGGCAACCCAACACCUAUCUCUUUGACAACUAGUGAUUUUUUUAUCCUUUUUUGGCUACCCG
Molecule: long non-coding RNA, 460 nt
Filed under: Amborella trichopoda
Lineage: Eukaryota; Viridiplantae; Streptophyta; Magnoliopsida; Amborellales; Amborellaceae
Description: long non-coding RNA (ATRI_LNC002374)
Source: RNAcentral